GAUGAACGCUGGCGGCGUGCCUAAUACAUGCAAGUAGAACGCUGAAGGAGGAGCUUGCUUCUCUGGAUGAGUUGCGAACGGGUGAGUAACGCGUAGGUAACCUGCCUGGUAGCGGGGGAUAACUAUUGGAAACGAUAGCUAAUACCGCAUAAGAGCAGUUGUUGCAUGACAGCUGUUUAAAAGGUGCAAUUGCACCACUACCAGAUGGACCUGCGUUGUAUUAGCUAGUUGGUGAGGUAACGGCUCACCAAGGCGACGAUACAUAGCCGACCUGAGAGGGUGAUCGGCCACACUGGGACUGAGACACGGCCCAGACUCCUACGGGAGGCAGCAGUAGGGAAUCUUCGGCAAUGGGGGCAACCCUGACCGAGCAACGCCGCGUGAGUGAAGAAGGUUUUCGGAUCGUAAAGCUCUGUUGUAAGAGAAGAACGAGUGUGAGAGUGGAAAGUUCACACUGUGACGGUAUCUUACCAGAAAGGGACGGCUAACUACGUGCCAGCAGCCGCGGUAAUACGUAGGUCCCGAGCGUUAUCCGGAUUUAUUGGGCGUAAAGCGAGCGCAGGCGGUUAGAUAAGUCUGAAGUUAAAGGCUGUGGCUUAACCAUAGUACGCUUUGGAAACUGUUUAACUUGAGUGCAAGAGGGGAGAGUGGAAUUCCAUGUGUAGCGGUGAAAUGCGUAGAUAUAUGGAGGAACACCGGUGGCGAAAGCGGCUCUCUGGCUUGUAACUGACGCUGAGGCUCGAAAGCGUGGGGAGCAAACAGG
Molecule: ribosomal RNA, 763 nt
Filed under: uncultured Streptococcus sp.
Lineage: Bacteria; Bacillati; Bacillota; Bacilli; Lactobacillales; Streptococcaceae
Description: bacterial SSU rRNA
Rfam family: Bacterial small subunit ribosomal RNA
Source: RNAcentral